This 485-nucleotide ribosomal RNA is filed under the name uncultured bacterium. Its description in RNAcentral is "partial 16S ribosomal RNA". It matches the Rfam family "Bacterial small subunit ribosomal RNA", at positions 27 to 507 of the family's 1533-position model. The record is from RNAcentral.
GAUUGAACGCUAGCGGGAUGCUUUACACAUGCAAGUCGAACGGCAGCGCGGACUUCGGUCUGGCGGCGAGUGGCGAACGGGUGAGUAAUGUAUCGGAACGUGCCCAGUAGCGGGGGAUAACUACGCGAAAGCGUAGCUAAUACCGCAUACGCCCUACGGGGGAAAGCAGGGGAUCGUAAGACCUUGCACUAUUGGAGCGGCCGAUAUCGGAUUAGCUAGUUGGUGAGGUAACGGCUCACCAAGGCGACGAUCCGUAGCUGGUUUGAGAGGACGACCAGCCACACUGGGACUGAGACACGGCCCAGACUCCUACGGGAGGCAGCAGUGGGGAAUUUUGGACAAUGGGGGCAACCCUGAUCCAGCCAUCCCGCGUGUGCGAUGAAGGCCUUCGGGUUGUAAAGCACUUUUGGCAGGAAAGAAACGUCGCGGGCUAAUACCCCGUGGAACUGACGGUACCUGCAGAAUAAGCACCGGCUAACUACGUG